This 693-nucleotide long non-coding RNA is filed under the name Lathyrus oleraceus (garden pea). Its description in RNAcentral is "Pisum sativum (pea) long non-coding RNA (PSAT_LNC017917)". Lineage: Eukaryota; Viridiplantae; Streptophyta; Magnoliopsida; Fabales; Fabaceae. The record is from RNAcentral.
AACACUCUAAGGGGCAUUGUUGGUAUUAAAUAAGUUGGUAACCCUAAUGUGUCCACUAUAUAACCAUACACUUGGCAAUGAAAGAAGAAAAAAAUUUAACCUAGACCAAUCCCACAAACCCAAGCGGCGCCCCACAAUCACAAAUGAGAUUCUCUCUCUCCAAUUGAAAAAAGAAAACAUAAAAAGGUUUUCUUCAAAAAAGUUUCAGUAACAUUUAUACCUACCUUUCUUCAUAAACCUUUAUGUGAUCCCUACAUUUUUCUUCUUGUUGCAACAGAAGCAUCACAACUCAAACAACACCAAAAUAUCCUUCUUUUCACUACCACCUUAACACAUUUUUUUUUUCACAAUAAAUCUUCAUACACACUCAUCCUCUCUCUUCAUGUCAAUUAGAAAAUAUAAAGAGUAAAAAGAGAGAUAAGAGAAAAUUAGUAGAAAAAAUGGUGACAUUAUUCACUAAAACUACCCAUUACUAACUCAUUUUAUCUAAAAUUUCAUUUCCAACUUACCUCACACAUAUCUAUUUCAUAUCUCACAAAACUCCACACAUUUCCUUCACCAGAAUCAUGAACACCAUGAAUAACACAUAGAAAUAACAACAACCACCCUUCCAUUUUUAUUCUUCUCACAAAACAUACUCACUUAUCCAUAUCCAUUUUUCUCACAAAAUCAUUCAAAAUCUGUUUCAUUUCU